Molecule: small RNA, 902 nt
Filed under: Pongo abelii (Sumatran orangutan)
Lineage: Eukaryota; Metazoa; Chordata; Mammalia; Primates; Hominidae
Description: processed transcript
Source: RNAcentral
GACAACGGCUCUGACCGUCAGGGAGGCCGCGUGGCGCCCGCGCCGGGCUUCCUGCAGGGGACUCUACCGGAGCCUUGCCACUUCCGUUUGUUUCCCUGUUGUCGUACGCUUCACCCUGGAUCAUGUUCAAGAAGUUUGAUGAAAAGGAAAGUGUGUCCAACUGCAUCCAGUUGAAAACGUCAGUUAUUAAGGGCAUUAAGAGCCAACUGGUAGAGCAAUUUCCAGAUAAGAAAACUGAAGCUCAGAGAGGGCACUGCCUUCCCCAAGGUCACCCAGCUACAAGUAACAAAGCCUGUGCUUCUAACACCAAAGACCACUUCCCGCUGACACUGUGCCAGGCUUAGAUCAUCAAUUAUGAAUUUGACACCAAGGACCUGGUGUGCCUGGGCCUGAGCAGCAUCGUUGGCGUCUGGUACCUGCUGAGGAAGCACUGGAUUGCCAACAACCUUUUUGGCCUGGCCUUCUCCCUUAAUGGAGUAGAGCUCCUGCACCUCAACAAUGUCAGCACUGGCUGCAUCCUGCUGGGUGGACUCUUCAUCUACGAUGUCUUCUGGGUAUUUGGCACCAAUGUGAUGGUGACAGUGGCCAAGUCCUUCGAGGCACCAAUAAAAUUGGUGUUUCCCCAGGAUCUGCUGGAGAAAGGCCUCGAAGCAAACAACUUUGCCAUGCUGGGACUUGGAGAUGUCGUCAUUCCAGGGAUCUUCAUUGCCUUGCUGCUGCGCUUUGACAUCAGCUUGAAGAAGAAUACCCACACCUACUUCUACACCAGCUUUGCAGCCUACAUCUUUGGCCUGGGCCUUACCAUCUUCAUCAUGCACAUCUUCAAGCAUGCUCAGCCUGCCCUCCUAUACCUGGUCCCCGCCUGCAUCGGUUUUCCUGUCCUGGUGGCGCUGGCCAAGGGA